UUGAAGCGUGGACGCCAGUCUGCGUGGAGCCAACCUUGAAAUACCACCCUUUAAUGUUUGAUGUUCUAACGUAGGCCCCUUAUCGGGGUUGCGGACAGUGUCUGGUGGGUAGUUUGACUGGGGCGGUCUCCUCCCAAAGAGUAACGGAGGAGCACGAAGGUUAGCUAAUCCUGGUCGGACAUCAGGAGGUUAGUGCAAUGGCAUAAGCUAGCUUGACUGCGAGCGUGACGGCGCGAGCAGGUGCGAAAGCAGGUCAUAGUGAUCCGGUGGUUCUGAAUGGAAGGGCCAUCGCUCAACGGAUAAAAGGUACUCCGGGGAUAACAGGCUGAUACCGCCCAAGAGUUCAUAUCGACGGCGGUGUUUGGCACCUCGAUGUCGGCUCAUCACAUCCUGGGGCUGAAGUAGGUCCCAAGGGUAUGGCUGUUCGCCAUUUAAAGUGGUACGCGAGCUGGGUUUAGAACGUCGUGAGACAGUUCGGUCCCUAUCUGCCGUGGGCGCUGGAGAAUUGAGGGGGGCUGCUCCUAGUACGAGAGGACCGGAGUGGACGCAUCACUGGUGUUCGGGUUGUCAUGCCAAUGGCACUGCCCGGUAGCUAAAUGCGGAAGAGAUAAGUGCUGAAAGCAUCUAAGCACGAAACUUGCCCCGAGAUGAGUUCUCCCUGAGACUAUAAGUCUCCUGAAGGAACGUUGAAGACGACGACGUUGAUAGGCCGGGUGUGUAAGCGCAGCGAUGCGUUGAGCUAACCGGUACUAAUGAACCGUGAGGCUUAACCUU
Molecule: ribosomal RNA, 774 nt
Filed under: Klebsiella variicola
Lineage: Bacteria; Pseudomonadati; Pseudomonadota; Gammaproteobacteria; Enterobacterales; Enterobacteriaceae
Description: partial 23S ribosomal RNA
Rfam family: Bacterial large subunit ribosomal RNA
Source: RNAcentral